RNAcentral lists this long non-coding RNA (306 nucleotides) under Mustela putorius furo (domestic ferret). Its description in RNAcentral is "lncRNA (ENSMPUG00000031836.1)". Lineage: Eukaryota; Metazoa; Chordata; Mammalia; Carnivora; Mustelidae. The record is from RNAcentral.
GGACACGCAAGCACGAAGUGUGCCGCGGAGGCGGGGAGCCAGCGCGACUGCGGCCCCGAACGUGUGGAAUAGAUGCAUUGCCCUAAGAUGUCCCGUGUGGCCUCUGUUCGAGCCCCAGGCAAUGACUGACCUUUGGACUGUCUCUAUAAUCUUGCUUUCUCCAGAAUGUCAUAUAGUUGGAAUCAGACAGCAAGUAUUUAGAAGCAUGAUCGCCAGAUUGGAUGGUGCAAGGACAUCUAGUUUUUUAAGAAACCGCCAAACUCUCCCAGAAGAACAACUGGAUCUGAUUUGAGGGUUAAAAGAUGC